CCUACGGGAGGCAGCAGUGAGGAAUAUUGGUCAAUGGACGAAAGUCUGAACCAGCCAAGUAGCGUGAAGGAUGACUGCCCUAUGAGUUGUAAACUGCUUUUAUAUGGGAGUAAAAUGUUCCACGUGUGGGAUUUUGUAUGUACCGUAUGAAUAAGGAUCGGCUAACUCCGUGCCAGCAGCCGCGGUAAUACGGAGGAUCCGAGCGUUAUCCGGAUUUAUUGGGUUUAAAGGGAGCGUAGGCGGAUUGUUAAGUUAGUGGUGAAAGUUUGGGGCUCAACUGUAAAAUUGCAGUUGAAACUGGCAGUCUUGAGUACAGUAGAGGUGGGCGGAAUGCGUGGUGUAGCGGUGAAAUGCUUAGAUAUCACGAAGAACUCCGAUUGCGAAGGCAGUUCACUGGACUGCAACUGACACUGAGGCUCGAAAGUGUGGGGAUCAAACAGGAUUAUAUACCCCAGUAGUC
Molecule: ribosomal RNA, 460 nt
Filed under: uncultured bacterium
Lineage: Bacteria
Description: partial 16S ribosomal RNA
Rfam family: Bacterial small subunit ribosomal RNA
Source: RNAcentral